This 27-nucleotide ribosomal RNA is filed under the name Pezicula corylina. Its description in RNAcentral is "partial 28S ribosomal RNA". Lineage: Eukaryota; Fungi; Ascomycota; Leotiomycetes; Helotiales; Dermateaceae. The record is from RNAcentral.
GGUUGACCUCGGAUCAGUAGGGGAUAC